GCCACAGCAGCCCAUGGUUCUGGUGGAUUGAGGGUGGAGCAGGUAGAGGAGCAGGCAUGACUGCAGAGGGAGCUGAACCGACAUUUCUGAAGGAAGACGUGCAAAUGACCAAUGAGAGCUUGAAGAAAUUCUCAGCAUCAUUCAUCAUCAAAGACACACAAGUCAAAACCACAACGAGGUGUCCUCUCAUCCCACAGAAUGGCCACGAUCAAAAAGGCAAAAAUAAAUCCUGCAGAGGAAGUGAAGAAAGGGAACUCGCAUGCUGUUAGUGGGAAGUUGUACAACCACUAAGGAAAAUGGUUUGGAGGUUCCUCAAAAAGCUCAAAAUAGAGCUAACCCAGCAAUCCGUCAUGAUAUUUUGAUACACGUAUACAAUGUGUAGAGAUCAUUCAGAGUGAACAGUAUAUCAUCUCCUCAAACAUUUAUCAUUUCUUUGUGUUGGGAACACUCAAUAUCUUCUCCUCUAGCUAUCUGCAAAUGUGCAAUAAAUUAUCGUUAACCCCAGUCAUCAUACAGUGCUACAGAACACUAUGGCUUAUUCCCCCUGUGUGGCUGUAGUUUUGUAUAUGUGAACCAGGCUCUCCCCUUUCCCUCCUCCCCACCCCUUCCCAGCCCCUGCUUACCACCCUUCUACUCUCUACUCCUGAGAUCAACUUCUUUAGCUUGCACCGGUGAGUGAGAUCAUGCAGUUCAUCUUUCUGUGCCUGGCUUAUUUCAUUUAACAUAAUGUCUUCCAAGCUCACCUGUAUUGUCACAUAUGGCAGAAUUUUGGUCUGUUUUAGGGUUAAAUAGAAUUCCACUGUGUGUAUACACCAUCUUUUCUUUUCCAUUACUUUUCCAUUCAUCUGUUGACAAGCACUUAGGUGCUUUCAUAUCGUGGCUAUUGUGAGCAGUGCUGCAAUAAACAUGGGGUGCAGAUGUCUCUUCAACACACUGAUUUAUUUUCCUUUGGAUACACACCCCAUAGAGAUCGCGCCACAGCACUCCAGCCUGGGCGACAGAGCGAGGCUCUGUCUCAAAAAAAAAAAAAAAUCCUAGAAGAAAAGUUAGGAAAUUUCCUUCAUGAUAUCAGCCUCGGAAAAAAAAAGUAUGGCUAAGUCCUCAUAAGCAAUUGCUACAAAAACAAAAAUUGACAAGCGGGACCUAAUUAAACUGAAGAGCUUCUGCACAGUAAGAGAAACUAACAGGGAGUCAACACUCAACCUACAAAAUGGGUGAAAAUAUUCACAUGCUGUGCAUUUGACAAAAGUCUAAUAUCUGCAAUCUACAAGGAACUUAAACAAAUCAACAAGCAAAAGACAAAUAACUUCAUUAAGAAGUGAGUAAAGGAUAUGAACAGACACUUCUCAAAAGAAGACAUGCACAUGGCCAACAGCUAUAUGAAAAAAUGCUCCACAUCACUAACUAUUAGGGGAAUGUAAAUCAAAACCACCACGAGAUACCAUCUCAUAUCAGUCAGAAUGGCUUUUGAUAAAAAGUAAAAAACAACACAAAACAAAAAAACCUAAAAUCAGAUGCUGGCAAAGCUUGAGAGAAAAGGGAACACUUGUACACUGUCGGUGGGAAUGUAAAUGAAUUCAGCCACCACGGAGAGCAGUUUGGAGAUUUCUCAAAGAGCUAAGAAUUGAACUACUAUUUGACCCAGCAAUCUCAUUAUUGGGUAUAUACCCAAAGGGAAAUAUAUCAAUCUACCAAAAAGACACAUGCAUCUAUAUGUUAAUUGCAGUGCUAUUCACAGAAGCAAAGAUGUGGAAUCAACCCAGGUGCCCAUCAAUGGUGGAUUGGAUAAAGAAAAAGUGGUACAUAUACACCAUGGAAUACUACACAGCUACAAAAAAGAAUGAAGUCAUAUCUUUUGCAGCAAUAUGGAUGAAGCUGGAGGCCAUUAUCCUAAGAGAACUAAUGCAGAAGCAGAAAACCAAAUACCACAUAUUCUCACUUAUAAGUGAGAGCUAAACUUUGAGUCCACAUGGACAUAAAGAUGAAAACCAUAGACACUGGGGAACAACAGGAGGGAGGAAUGGAGGGAGGGGGCAAGGGCUGAAUACUGGGGAACAAGAGGAGAGAGCAAGGGGGCAAGGACUGAAAAGCUACUGGGUACUACAGUCACUAUUUUGGUGAUGGAUUCAUUCAUACUCCAAACCUCAGCAUCACACAAUAUACCCAUGUGACAAACCUGCACAUGUACUGCCUGAUUCUAAAAUAAAAGUUGAAGAAAAAGUUCUUUAUAUACUCUAGAUACUAGAUGCUUAUCAGAUAUCUGAUUUGUAAAUCUUUUCUUCCUUUAUUAUGUAGACUGUUCUUUCACUUUGUUGAUAGCGUCCUUUGGUGCAAAAAUAUUUAACUUUUGAUGGCAUCCAAUGUAUUUGUAUUUCUCUUUUGUUGCUGGUGCUUUUGGUGUCCUAUCUAUGAAUCCACACCGAAUCCAAGGUCAUGUUUUCUUUUAAUAGUUUUAUAGAUUUGACUCUUAAAUGUAGGCCUUUUGACCCAUUUUAAAUUAAUUAGUGUAUGUGGUGUGAAGUAGGGGUCCAGCUCAUUCCUGUGCAUGUGGAUGUCUAGUUUCCCAGCACCAUUUGUUGAAGUACUGCUCUUCCUCCAUUGAAUGAUCUGGCACCCUGUCAAAAAUCAGUUGGUCAUCUACAUGAGGGUUUAUUUCUGGCUCUCAAUUCUAUUCCACUGGUUUAUACAUUUAUUCUAACAACAGUGCUAAACUGCCCUGAUGACUGCAGCUUUGUAGUAAGUUUUCAAAUUGGCAAGUGUGAGCCCUCCAACAUUGUUCUUCUUUUUAACCUUGUUUUAGCUAUUCCGGGUCCCUUGAGAUUCCACAUGAACUUUAAAAUCAGCCUGUGAAUUUCUACAAAGAAGCCGGCUGCUUUCCUGAUAGAGAUUGCAUAGACUCUGCAGAUCAAUUUUGGAGGUAUUGCCAUCUGAAAAAUGUUAAGUCUCCUGAUACAUGAACAUCAGUCUGCCUUUGGGCUGCCAUAACAAAAUACCACGGAUUUGGUGGCCCAACAACAGGCAUUUAUUUUCUCACAAUUCAGAAGUCCAAGAUCGGGUGCAAGCAACUUUAGUUUCUGGUGAGGGCUCUCUCUUUGGGUUGCAGAUGGCCGCUUUCCCACUCUUUGCUCACAUGGCCUUUCCUUUGUGUGUGGAGAGAGAAAGAGAUGGAGGGAGGAAGAGAGAGAGAGAGAGAAAGAGAGAGCGAGACAGAGGCAAAUGCUCCCUGGUGUCUCUUCUUAUGAAGAUGCAAAUCCUAUGGAAGCCCUUAUGACCUUAUGUAACCUUAAUUUCUUCCUUGGAGAACUCGUCUCCAUAUACAACCACAAUGGGAGUGAUGGAUUCAACAUAUGAAUUUGAAAGAACAUGAAUAUUCAGUCCACAACAAAUCUGGGAUGUUUUAGAUCUUCUUUAGUUUCUUUCAACAGUGUUUUGUCACUUUCAGAGUUGCAAGUGAGUAGAAAUACAAUUGAUUUUUAUAUAUUGGUCCUGUAUUCUGAAAACUUGCUGGAUUCAUUUAUUAGUUCUAUAAUCUAUAAAACACUGGCCGAGCACGAUGGCUCAUGCCUAUAAUCCCAGCAAUUUGGGAGCCCAAGGCAGGUGGAUCACAUGAGGCCAAGAGUUCAAGACCAGCCAGGCCAACAUGGUGAAACCUCAUCUCUACUAAAAAUAUAAAAACUAGCUGGGCAUGGUGGUGCAUGCCUGUAAUCACAGCUACUUGGGAGGCUGAGGUGGGAGAAUUGCUUGAACCAAGGAGGCAGAGGUUGUAGUAAGCUGACAUUGUGCCACUGCACUCCAACAACCGAGCGAGACCCUGUCUCAAAAAAAAAUCUAUAAAACAUUAGUAGCUCUUACAAAUUGACAAGUAGAAUACAAACAACCAAGUUUUGAAAAAGAUGAUUCUCUGAUAAACAAAUGGAAAUGUGCAAUUAAAAAUAUAAAAAGUAAAUCAGACUCACUGGUAGUCAGAUACACGGGAUCUUUUCUGUGGAGUCCUAAUGAUGGAAAAGGAGCCAGGUUGGUUGGACCAAGGGAAAGCAAAAAGAGAAGGCAGAUGAACUACAAGUCUGCCUUUCUUCAUGGUUCAGGACUUAGCCCUCCUAUGCAAAUAACUCACAUAACUCACAAUCUUCCUGCACUCAACUUAUGACCUCAGUUGAUAGAAAAAUGCAAAUUAGCUCACUGAAACCUUGGCAUUAUCAGCACUGCAUGUAACCCUCUCCGGCACAAGCACCAUCCUAUAAAAUCCCCAGCAAGCCUUUGUCUCCUGGCAGCCAGCUCCUCCCUUGCUGACCUGCCCUUUCCAUUCUUGCAACGUAUUUUCCUACAUUCUCUAAUAAAUCUGCCUUUCCUUACCUACAGUCUUGGUAAAUUCCUUUUCUGCCCACGCUAGUGGACUCAGUUAGUGGCUACCUGCAAUAUUUUAUAUCUACUAGACUGACAAAAAUUAACAAGAAUAAUAACACCUAUUGCUAGUGAAAUUGGG
This 4483-nucleotide long non-coding RNA is filed under the name Pan troglodytes (chimpanzee). RNAcentral's name for it is "long non-coding RNA NONPTRT002490". Lineage: Eukaryota; Metazoa; Chordata; Mammalia; Primates; Hominidae. The record is from RNAcentral.